This 1663-nucleotide long non-coding RNA is filed under the name Citrus maxima (pomelo). Its description in RNAcentral is "long non-coding RNA (CMAX_LNC000812)". The record is from RNAcentral. Lineage: Eukaryota; Viridiplantae; Streptophyta; Magnoliopsida; Sapindales; Rutaceae.
GGGUCUGGACCGGGCCUGGGCCAGACAAGGGCCGAGCCUGGGCUUUUAAAACCAAUUUUUAAAUAAAAUUAUAAGUACUAAAAACAUAAUUAUCCAUUACAUAUUACUACAAUAAGCAAAUUUGUAUCACUCCGUAUUUUUUUUUGAAUAUUUUCUGACUCUGCAGAUGGAUUUGAAGGCAAAUUUGUAUUAGAAGAUAUAGAAGCAUUUUCUAUUAUAAACCUAUACAAAAUUAACGGAGAUAAGAUAUUAAAUUAAUUAAUUAAUUAUUUAAUUAAUUAAAUAUCAUAUAAAAAAUUUUAAUAACACUGAAAAAUUUCUAAUUUUUACAUCAUUGAUCAUUAUGUCAUAAUAAAUUUACAAGCACAGGACAUCAUAAAUUCAAAAAUUCAUAAUGCUUCAUUUACAAAUUACAAAUAAAUUUACAACGUCCAGAAUUGAUUGAAAAACAAAACCCCCAAAUUUGCAAACCAACAACCAACAAUCAACAAUCAACAACAAAACCAACAACACAACUCAAAAUCAUUAACCAAGCACAAUAUUCUUCAACAUUUUCUACAUUAAUCAACAACCAUCCUAAAUUCUUCACGAUAUUCUUUACAGCUCAAAAACAAAAAAUUCUUCACAAUACUCUUCACCAAAUUAACCAAUUACAUAUAUUUAGGCAUGAUAUUAUACAAUAAAAAAAAUUGAAGCUUAAUUGAGGUGGAGUACCGGAGUUGGUGAUGGCUUGCUGGUUUGAAUCGCGUCGUCACUGGUUUGGGUUGCGUUGGAACAGAUCGGUGCUGCUGCCUAGCGCGCGUUGGAGUAGUUGCGACUGCAGCGUCGCGCGGUUGUGCUGGGGGUCGGGAGAUGGUGAGUGGUUGGACGCUUCACGCUCGCGGUUCUGGACUCUCGUGGCUCGCUGCUGUGCUGGACGCUGUAGGCUGCUCUUGGUUGCCGAUGGCGUGAACAGUGAGAAAUGGGGGAAACCGGAAAUGAGGGAUUUAGUUUAGGGAUUGAUUUUAGUUUCGGGUUCAAUAUCAAUUUGAAUCCGUUAUUCCGUUUUGUAUUUUCUUUUAAUUUUUCAAUUUUUUUUUAAUUUGAAUUUUAUAACAUGUAUAAAAUUUUGGAUUUAAAAAAAAAUAUAUAAUUUAUUAUAAAGUCCGGGCUUAAGUCUGAACUUUUGAGUAAAGUCUUUGGCUGAACCCAUUACAUAUAGACUUUACAAAUUACGAGCCUUUCUCUAUGAUUUAAGCCGCGGGCUGGGCUUAAAACCCGCGAGCCUGGGCCGGCCCGGACUUUUCUGCCACUCCUAAUCCCAGGUCUGUGCUAUAGUUCAAUUUAACCCUGUAGCUUCACUGUACGGAGCUCAUGUUCUGAGAGGCGCAAACUCAUAUCUUCAAAGAAUAUCUCUGUUGGUUCGAGUCGGCCUGGAUUGCAUAUAGGUAAGCUCUAAUUCAAUUUUCAUGUAACAAUGAUAUUUUGUUAGUAAUAUAUGGAAGAGUAAUUAGGUGCUUCCAGUCGCGUACUUUGCAUGCGCGUCAAGCUCAUUGAUGGGAGUUGUGCUGAGAAGUUCACAGCUACCCAAUGGAAUCAUAUAUAUGUGUUUGUGUGUGUGGGAACAACUCAAUUUGUAUAUAAAUUGAUGCAAAGUAUGAGAAAAUGUGAGGAAUUGACGUGG